UACAGAGGGGGCAAGCGUUGUUCGGAAUUACUGGGCGUAAAGGGCGCGUAGGCGGCCUUCUAAGUCGAACGUGAAAUCCCCGGGCUCAACCCGGGAACUGCGUCCGAUACUGGAAGGCUUGAAUUCGGGAGAGGGAUGCGGAAUUCCAGGUGUGGCGGUGAAAUGCGUAGAUAUCUGGAGGAACACCUGCGGUGUAGACGGCUUUCUGGACCAUUGUUGACGCUGAGACACGAAAGCGUGGGUAGCAAACAGG
This 253-nucleotide ribosomal RNA is filed under the name uncultured bacterium. RNAcentral describes it as "partial 16S ribosomal RNA". It matches the Rfam family "Bacterial small subunit ribosomal RNA", at positions 524 to 776 of the family's 1533-position model. The record is from RNAcentral.